AAGAAUGGAGGAAGGUAGGGGAGUGACGUCAAGUACAUCAUGGCCCUUACGUCCAGGGCUACACACGUGCUACAAUGGCCGAUACAGAGGGCAGCUACCUGGUGACAGGAUGCAAAUCUCCAAAGUCGGUCUCAGUUCGGAUCGGAGUCUGCAACCCGACUCCGUGAAGUUGGAUUCGCUAGUAAUCGCGCAUCAGCCAUGGCGCGGUGAAUACGUUCCCGGGCCUU
Molecule: ribosomal RNA, 227 nt
Filed under: uncultured Sphingobacteriales bacterium
Lineage: Bacteria; Pseudomonadati; Bacteroidota; Sphingobacteriia; Sphingobacteriales
Description: partial 16S ribosomal RNA
Rfam family: Bacterial small subunit ribosomal RNA
Source: RNAcentral